This 253-nucleotide ribosomal RNA is filed under the name uncultured bacterium. RNAcentral's name for it is "partial 16S ribosomal RNA". It matches the Rfam family "Bacterial small subunit ribosomal RNA", at positions 524 to 776 of the family's 1533-position model. The record is from RNAcentral.
UACGAAGGGGGCUAGCGUUGUUCGGAUUUACUGGGCGUAAAGCGCACGUAGGCGGAUCUUUAAGUCAGGGGUGAAAUCCCGGGGCUCAACCUCGGAACUGCCUUUGAUACUGGGGGUCUCGAGUCCGGGAGAGGUGAGUGGAACUGCGAGUGUAGAGGUGAAAUUCGUAGAUAUUCGCAAGAACACCAGUGGCGAAGGCGGCUCACUGGCCCGGAACUGACGCUGAGGUGCGAAAGCCAGGGGAGCAAACGGG